This 82-nucleotide small RNA is filed under the name Marmota monax (woodchuck). Lineage: Eukaryota; Metazoa; Chordata; Mammalia; Rodentia; Sciuridae. The record is from RNAcentral.
GCUGGGUGCUGUGGCGCACACCUGUAAUCCCAGCGCUUGGGGAGCUGAGGCAGGAGGAUCUCGAGUUCAAAUCCAGCCUCAG